RNAcentral lists this ribosomal RNA (254 nucleotides) under uncultured bacterium. RNAcentral's name for it is "partial 16S ribosomal RNA". It matches the Rfam family "Bacterial small subunit ribosomal RNA", at positions 524 to 776 of the family's 1533-position model. The record is from RNAcentral.
UACGUAGGGUGCGAGCGUUAAUCGGAAUUACUGGGCGUAAAGCGUGCGCAGGCGGUCUGUUAAGACCGAUGUGAAAUCCCCGGGCUUAACCUGGGAACUGCAUUGGUGACUGGCAGGCUUUGAGUGUGGCAGAGGGAGGUAGAAUUCCACGUGUAGCAGUGAAAUGCGUAGAGAUGUGGAGGAACACCGAUGGCGAAGGCAGCCUCCUGGGCUAACACUGACGCUCAAGCACGAAAGCGUGGGGAGCAAACAGG